GGAGACAUUGAUUAAAACUUACACUGACAAACGCGUGACGGAAGAAGGAAUAUCUUCUUCAGACUUUAAAGCAACAGAUAUAUGUCUUUCAUGCACUCGGGUAACCACACCCUCCACUGAGAUAUCUGUUUCGUUGGGACGUUUUUUUUUGGAGGAUUGAAAAUCCUGUCGAAUACUGACAACAUCACCAGGUGAAAAAGAGUUUGCUGGUAAUUCUUCACCAUUGGAGAACGCUGGAUCUUUUUCAAAAUCAAUGAUUCUACAAAUUAAAUGAGUUAAAAAAGAGUCAUUAUGUCGUUUCGAAUGCUUAAAUGUACGUUUUACCACCAAAUCCAGUUUUUACAACUCCGAUUCUAAGGUUGAUAAGUGCUAAUCCUUUUCUUUGUAAUACGGACAACGGAAAGCGUUUUAUAGACUUUUCUGUCUCAUCAACUUCGGAUUUUUGAGCUUCAUCCACAAAUUCAAUUUCCCUAUCCCCAAAUUUUUGUAUCUGACCAUUAUUAAUUAAU
Schizosaccharomyces pombe (fission yeast) is the source of this 509-nucleotide non-coding RNA. The record is from the annotation of a GenBank genome assembly. NCBI's taxonomy places the organism in Eukaryota, Fungi, Ascomycota, Schizosaccharomycetes, Schizosaccharomycetales, Schizosaccharomycetaceae.